RNAcentral lists this unclassified non-coding RNA (236 nucleotides) under Hevea brasiliensis (rubber tree). The record is from RNAcentral. Lineage: Eukaryota; Viridiplantae; Streptophyta; Magnoliopsida; Malpighiales; Euphorbiaceae.
GGUGGAUAAGCGGCUGGGCUAAGUGAAAAUCCUUUAGUGAGUCGCGCAGACGAUUACUGAAAACUUUCAAGAGAAUGCCUUUUCGCGGCUCUUACUAUUUCCGGUGAAGAGUAGCUUUCCCUGUACCCGGUCUAGUCUUUCCUCGAAUGUCAUUGCUAGCAGAGAUCAGAAGCAACGGCAUUACCACCGGGGGAGCUGUUAGUGUAAUUGAAUAUGCUCUUACUGUUGGAGAAGAC